This 418-nucleotide ribosomal RNA is filed under the name uncultured fungus. RNAcentral's name for it is "eukaryotic LSU rRNA". Lineage: Eukaryota; Fungi. The record is from RNAcentral.
AGAGUAAAAUAGUACGUGAAAUUGUUGAAAGGGAAACGAUUGAAGUCAGUCGUACCGACGAGAAAUCAGCUCUUUGAGUGCGAACUUGUGGGCGUGCGUGAGUCUUUAACGGGCCUCGCUGUUUGCAAUUUUGUGCUUUUUGGGUGUACUUUUUCGUAUGGUAGGCCAACGUCAGUUUUGAUCACCGUAAAAUGAUCGGAGGAAUGUAGCUUCGAUCUCGUAUUGAAGUGUUAUAGCCUCUGGUAGAUGCGGUGACCGAAACUGAGGAUUGCAACGAAUACCCUUUUGGGCUAUCCGUCUGGCCUCUGAAAGUUGCUUAGGUGCCGAAAGCGUGCUUACGGCUAUUUAAGUUGACGGUCAACAGGUUAGAACGAUCAAAAAUUUGCUAAGGAUGCUGACGUAAUGGCUUUAAACGACC